Molecule: ribosomal RNA, 593 nt
Filed under: Panagrolaimus sp. S33
Lineage: Eukaryota; Metazoa; Nematoda; Chromadorea; Rhabditida; Panagrolaimidae
Description: partial large subunit ribosomal RNA
Source: RNAcentral
GAAAGAUGGUAAUAAUAAGUUGUAUAGGGUGUAACGGUUUGUCAAAUGUUUUCGAAAGAAUCAUUUGAUUUUGCAGUUUGCCUAUAUAUAAUGCACUUGUUGCCAUUGUGCUGAUACAAUUGAUUGAGAUUUUUGAAAUUGCAUUAGAGGGCAUAUCUUCGGAUGUGUAUCCUGGUGCAAUGGAUAAAAUUUUUGAUUAAUUGUCCUUCAUGGAUAAAAGAUGGUAUUUGACUGGUUAUGUAUAAGAGUUAACGCAUGCGUUGGCUUUUUUGCWUGGCUUGUUUGAAUGCUUAAUGAUAUCUAUUGAAUAUCAGUAUAAAAGACAAUCACCUAUAUGUCCCGUCUUGAAACACGGACCAAGGAGUUUAUUGUAUGUGCGAGUCAUUGAGUGUUCAAAACUCAUUGGCGUAAUGAAAGUAAAGUAUUCUUUAUGAAUAUGAUAUAUGAUUGUCUUUUCUACGGAAAGGCAAGCAGUAUAGUCCCAUCUAAUUUGCUUGCAAAUGGGUGGAGAUAGAGCAUAUGCAAUGAGACCCGAAAGAUGGUGAACUAUGCCUGAGCAGGAUGAAGUCAGGGGAAACUCUGAUGGAAGUCCG